AAUGAACGCUGGCGGCGUGCCUAACACAUGCAAGUCGCGCGCGAAAGGGGAGCAAUCUCCGAGUAGAGCGGCGGACGGGUGAGUAACACGUGGGUAAUCUGCCUAGGAGCGGGGGAUAACCUGGGGAAACUCGGGCUAAUACCGCAUACGAUCAUGGGGUCUCGGCCCUGUGCUGAAAGAUGGCCUCUGCUUGCAAGCUACCACUCCUAGAGGAGCCCGCGCCUGAUUAGCUAGUUGGUGGGGUAACGGCCUACCAAGGCGACGAUCAGUAGCCGGCCUGAGAGGGCGAUCGGCCACACUGGAACUGAGACACGGUCCAGACUCCUACGGGAGGCAGCAGUGAGGAAUCUUGCGCAAUGGGGGAAACCCUGACGCAGCAACGCCGCGUGGAGGAUGAAGGUCUUCGGAUUGUAAACUCCUGUCAGAGGGGACGAAUGUUCACGGGCUAAUCACCGUGAGCUUGACGGUACCCUCAGAGGAAGCCACGGCUAACUCUGUGCCAGCAGCCGCGGUAAUACAGAGGUGGCGAGCGUUAUUCGGAAUUAUUGGGCGUAAAGGGCGCGUAGGCGGCUUGACAAGUCCCGGGUGAAAUCCCUCGGCUCAACCGAGGAACUGCCUUGGAAACUGUCUGGCUUGAGGCCGGGAGAGGGUAGUGGAAUUCCCAGUGUAGCGGUGAAAUGCGUAGAUACUGGGAGGAACACCGGUGGCGAAGGCGGCUACCUGGACCGGUUCUGACGCUGAGGCGCGAAAGCGUGGGUAGCAAACAGGAUUAGAUACCCUGGUAGUCCACGCUGUAAACGAUGGAUGCUCGGUGCUGGGGGUAUCGACCCCUCCGGUGCCUUAGCUAACGCGUUAAGCAUC
This 861-nucleotide ribosomal RNA is filed under the name uncultured bacterium. RNAcentral's name for it is "bacterial SSU rRNA". It matches the Rfam family "Bacterial small subunit ribosomal RNA", at positions 28 to 868 of the family's 1533-position model. The record is from RNAcentral.